Molecule: ribosomal RNA, 429 nt
Filed under: Fusobacteriota bacterium
Lineage: Bacteria; Fusobacteriati; Fusobacteriota
Description: Fusobacteria bacterium partial 16S ribosomal RNA
Rfam family: Bacterial small subunit ribosomal RNA
Source: RNAcentral
UGGGGAAUCUUCCGCAAUGGACGAAAGUCUGACGGAGCAACGCCGCGUGAGUGAAGACGGCCUUCGGGUUGUAAAGCUCUGUGAUCCGGGACGAAAGAGCCUGAGGUAAAUAGCCUAAGGAAGUGACGGUACCGGAAAAGCAAGCCACGGCUAACUACGUGCCAGCAGCCGCGGUAAUACGUAGGUGGCAAGCGUUGUCCGGAAUUAUUGGGCGUAAAGCGCGCGCAGGCGGCUUACUAAGUCCAUCUUAAAAGUGCGGGGCUUAACCCAGUGAUGGGAUGGAAACUGGAAAGCUGGAGUAUCGGAGAGGAAAGUGGAAUUCCUAGUGUAGCGGUGAAAUGCGUAGAGAUUAGGAAGAACACCGGUGGCGAAGGCGACUUUCUGGACGAAAACUGACGCUGAGGCGCGAAAGCGUGGGGAGCAAACAGG